Molecule: ribosomal RNA, 2758 nt
Filed under: Escherichia coli
Lineage: Bacteria; Pseudomonadati; Pseudomonadota; Gammaproteobacteria; Enterobacterales; Enterobacteriaceae
Description: partial 23S ribosomal RNA
Rfam family: Bacterial large subunit ribosomal RNA
Source: RNAcentral
UUCGUCACACUAUCAUUAACUGAAUCCAUAGGUUAAUGAGGCGAACCGGGGGAACUGAAACAUCUAAGUACCCCGAGGAAAAGAAAUCAACCGAGAUUCCCCCAGUAGCGGCGAGCGAACGGGGAGGAGCCCAGAGCCUGAAUCAGUGUGUGUGUUAGUGGAAGCGUCUGGAAAGGCGCGCGAUACAGGGUGACAGCCCCGUACACAAAAAUGCACAUGCUGUGAGCUCGAUGAGUAGGGCGGGACACGUGGUAUCCUGUCUGAAUAUGGGGGGACCAUCCUCCAAGGCUAAAUACUCCUGACUGACCGAUAGUGAACCAGUACCGUGAGGGAAAGGCGAAAAGAACCCCGGCGAGGGGAGUGAAAAAGAACCUGAAACCGUGUACGUACAAGCAGUGGGAGCACGCUUAGGCGUGUGACUGCGUACCUUUUGUAUAAUGGGUCAGCGACUUAUAUUCUGUAGCAAGGUUAACCGAAUAGGGGAGCCGAAGGGAAACCGAGUCUUAACUGGGCGUUAAGUUGCAGGGUAUAGACCCGAAACCCGGUGAUCUAGCCAUGGGCAGGUUGAAGGUUGGGUAACACUAACUGGAGGACCGAACCGACUAAUGUUGAAAAAUUAGCGGAUGACUUGUGGCUGGGGGUGAAAGGCCAAUCAAACCGGGAGAUAGCUGGUUCUCCCCGAAAGCUAUUUAGGUAGCGCCUCGUGAAUUCAUCUCCGGGGGUAGAGCACUGUUUCGGCAAGGGGGUCAUCCCGACUUACCAACCCGAUGCAAACUGCGAAUACCGGAGAAUGUUAUCACGGGAGACACACGGCGGGUGCUAACGUCCGUCGUGAAGAGGGAAACAACCCAGACCGCCAGCUAAGGUCCCAAAGUCAUGGUUAAGUGGGAAACGAUGUGGGAAGGCCCAGACAGCCAGGAUGUUGGCUUAGAAGCAGCCAUCAUUUAAAGAAAGCGUAAUAGCUCACUGGUCGAGUCGGCCUGCGCGGAAGAUGUAACGGGGCUAAACCAUGCACCGAAGCUGCGGCAGCGACGCUGAUGCGUUGUUGGGUAGGGGAGCGUUCUGUAAGCCUGCGAAGGUGUGCUGUGAGGCAUGCUGGAGGUAUCAGAAGUGCGAAUGCUGACAUAAGUAACGAUAAAGCGGGUGAAAAGCCCGCUCGCCGGAAGACCAAGGGUUCCUGUCCAACGUUAAUCGGGGCAGGGUGAGUCGACCCCUAAGGCGAGGCCGAAAGGCGUAGUCGAUGGGAAACAGGUUAAUAUUCCUGUACUUGGUGUUACUGCGAAGGGGGGACGGAGAAGGCUAUGUUGGCCGGGCGACGGUUGUCCCGGUUUAAGCGUGUAGGCUGGUUUUCCAGGCAAAUCCGGAAAAUCAAGGCUGAGGCGUGAUGACGAGGCACUACGGUGCUGAAGCAACAAAUGCCCUGCUUCCAGGAAAAGCCUCUAAGCAUCAGGUAACAUCAAAUCGUACCCCAAACCGACACAGGUGGUCAGGUAGAGAAUACCAAGGCGCUUGAGAGAACUCGGGUGAAGGAACUAGGCAAAAUGGUGCCGUAACUUCGGGAGAAGGCACGCUGAUAUGUAGGUGAAGCGACUUGCUCGUGGAGCUGAAAUCAGUCGAAGAUACCAGCUGGCUGCAACUGUUUAUUAAAAACACAGCACUGUGCAAACACGAAAGUGGACGUAUACGGUGUGACGCCUGCCCGGUGCCGGAAGGUUAAUUGAUGGGGUUAGCGCAAGCGAAGCUCUUGAUCGAAGCCCCGGUAAACGGCGGCCGUAACUAUAACGGUCCUAAGGUAGCGAAAUUCCUUGUCGGGUAAGUUCCGACCUGCACGAAUGGCGUAAUGAUGGCCAGGCUGUCUCCACCCGAGACUCAGUGAAAUUGAACUCGCUGUGAAGAUGCAGUGUACCCGCGGCAAGACGGAAAGACCCCGUGAACCUUUACUAUAGCUUGACACUGAACAUUGAGCCUUGAUGUGUAGGAUAGGUGGGAGGCUUUGAAGUGUGGACGCCAGUCUGCAUGGAGCCGACCUUGAAAUACCACCCUUUAAUGUUUGAUGUUCUAACGUGGACCCGUAAUCCGGGUUGCGGACAGUGUCUGGUGGGUAGUUUGACUGGGGCGGUCUCCUCCUAAAGAGUAACGGAGGAGCACGAAGGUUGGCUAAUCCUGGUCGGACAUCAGGAGGUUAGUGCAAUGGCAUAAGCCAGCUUGACUGCGAGCGUGACGGCGCGAGCAGGUGCGAAAGCAGGUCAUAGUGAUCCGGUGGUUCUGAAUGGAAGGGCCAUCGCUCAACGGAUAAAAGGUACUCCGGGGAUAACAGGCUGAUACCGCCCAAGAGUUCAUAUCGACGGCGGUGUUUGGCACCUCGAUGUCGGCUCAUCACAUCCUGGGGCUGAAGUAGGUCCCAAGGGUAUGGCUGUUCGCCAUUUAAAGUGGUACGCGAGCUGGGUUUAGAACGUCGUGAGACAGUUCGGUCCCUAUCUGCCGUGGGCGCUGGAGAACUGAGGGGGGCUGCUCCUAGUACGAGAGGACCGGAGUGGACGCAUCACUGGUGUUCGGGUUGUCAUGCCAAUGGCACUGCCCGGUAGCUAAAUGCGGAAGAGAUAAGUGCUGAAAGCAUCUAAGCACGAAACUUGCCCCGAGAUGAGUUCUCCCUGACUCCUUGAGAGUCCUGAAGGAACGUUGAAGACGACGACGUUGAUAGGCCGGGUGUGUAAGCGCAGCGAUGCGUUGAGCUAACCGGUACUAAUGAACCGUGAGG